Molecule: long non-coding RNA, 564 nt
Filed under: Chrysolophus pictus (golden pheasant)
Lineage: Eukaryota; Metazoa; Chordata; Aves; Galliformes; Phasianidae
Description: lncRNA (ENSCPIG00010000465.1)
Source: RNAcentral
CACAUACCUGUGUGCCUAUGAGUUACUGGCCUCCUACUUGUGAAGGAAAUCUCACACUCUCCUCACCGCUUACAGCCAAAAAAAAAGACUGAUCUGGGGAAGAGUGGAAAAACAAUGACAAUAUAUCUUUCUUGCAUAAGACAAAGGUGUUGCCUACAAUAAAUUCACUGAGCAAGAAAUACAGACUUGUGUCCAGUGCUAUGAAAAUUAACCAAGGCACAUUAACUUCGGGAAAUCUUCAAAGAGAGAAGAUGACUUUUCAUGUUGUGAUCCAGUGCAGACUGCAAAUGACAGGCUUGCUCUCCUCUCUGCUUUGUAAGGGUUUAGCCGCUCGUGCAGGUGAGUUAAGCUAAAAUAGCUUUAUUGCUUGCCAGGUGCCAUAAGCUGGAAUUAACUCUUAUUUGCAGAAUCUCAGGCUGCCUAUAAAUGUUGCAAAAGCACCUGUGUUUGAUGACAGGAUGCAUAUGUCCUUGAUCUCUAGCAGCCAAGAUGCCAUCUAAUCGCUGCAUGGAUAUGUAUGGUAUUAAAUUAAGCUGGUGAGCUGAGGGGAAUGCAAUUUUUUUU